AGAGUUUGAUCCUGGCUCAGAAUCAACGCUGGCGGCGUGCCUCAGACAUGCAAGUCGAACGAUUAAAGCUCUCUUCGGAGAGUGCAUAGAGUGGCGCACGGGUGAGUAACACGUAAGUAAUCUACCCUCGAGUGGGGAAUAACGUUCGGAAACGGACGCUAAUACCGCAUAAUGCAGCGGCACCGCAAGGUGACAGUUGUUAAAGAUUUAUCGCUUGAGGAGGAGCUUGCGGCAGAUUAGCUAGUUGGUAAGGUAAUGGCUUACCAAGGCUACGAUCUGUAACCGGUCUUAGAGGACGGUCGGUCACACUGACACUGAAUAACGGGUCAGACUCCUACGGGAGGCAGCAGUCGGGAAUUUUGGGCAAUGGGCGAAAGCCUGACCCAGCAACGCCGCGUGAAGGAUGAAGUAUUUCGGUAUGUAAACUUCGAAAGAAUAGGAAGAAUCAAUGACGGUACUAUUUAUAAGGUCCGGCUAACUACGUGCCAGCAGCCGCGGUAAUACGUAGGGACCAAGCGUUGUUCGGAUUUACUGGGCGUAAAGGGCGCGUAGGCGGCGCGGUAAGUCACUUGUGAAAUCUCUGAGCUUAACUCAGAACGGCCAAGUGAUACUGCAGUGCUAGAGUGUGGAAGGGGCAAUCGGAAUUCUUGGUGUAGCGGUGAAAUGCGUAGAUAUCAAGAGGAACACCUGAGGUGAAGACGGGUUGCUGGGCCAA
RNAcentral lists this ribosomal RNA (715 nucleotides) under uncultured bacterium. RNAcentral's name for it is "bacterial SSU rRNA". It matches the Rfam family "Bacterial small subunit ribosomal RNA", at positions 8 to 737 of the family's 1533-position model. The record is from RNAcentral.